RNAcentral lists this ribosomal RNA (490 nucleotides) under uncultured bacterium. RNAcentral's name for it is "partial 16S ribosomal RNA". It matches the Rfam family "Bacterial small subunit ribosomal RNA", at positions 29 to 507 of the family's 1533-position model. The record is from RNAcentral.
GUGAACGCUGGCGGUAGGCCUAACACAUGCAAGUCGAACGGCAGCACAGUAAGAGCUUGCUCUUACGGGUGGCGAGUGGCGGACGGGUGAGGAAUACAUCGGAAUCUACUUUUUCGUGGGGGAUAACGUAGGGAAACUUACGCUAAUACCGCAUACGACUACGGGUGAAAGCAGGGGAUCUUCGGACCUUGCGCGAUUGAAUUAGCCGAUGUCGGAUUAGCUAGUUGGCGGGGUAAAGGCCCACCAAGGCGACGAUCCGUAGCUGGUCUGAGAGGAUGAUCAGCCACACUGGAACUGAGACACGGUCCAGACUCCUACGGGAGGCAGCAGUGGGGAAUAUUGGACAAUGGGCGCAAGCCUGAUCCAGCCAUACCGCGUGGGUGAAGAAGGCCUUCGGGUUGUAAAGCCCUUUUGUUGGGAAAGAAAAGCAGCAGGUUAAUACCCCGCUGUUCUGACGGUACCCAAAGAAUAAGCACCGGCUAACUUCGUG